RNAcentral lists this long non-coding RNA (389 nucleotides) under Helianthus annuus (common sunflower). RNAcentral describes it as "sRNA HanXRQr2_Chr03g0103341". Lineage: Eukaryota; Viridiplantae; Streptophyta; Magnoliopsida; Asterales; Asteraceae. The record is from RNAcentral.
UUUUAUUUUUGACCCUGCAUUCUUAUAAUAUAAAACUCAAAUCAAUUUUUAGGCCAUCAUCAUUUCUCAUUUUGGGUCUGUUUAUAAGUUUUAGGAGCUAAACACAAUUGUAUAUCUUCGAAUCAAGUUUAGAGCUUAAAAGUUGUACUUUAUGAUCCAUAAGUUGUACCCUUGCUGAUAUUAACUCGAAAAGAACAACACCAAAUGCAUAUACAUCACUUUUUGUUGUAGCUAAACCAUCCCUGAGGUAUCUGUGAUGACAUGCCAAAUUCAAGUAAGAUACCUUGGCUUUGAAGGCACUGUCAAGUAAAAUGUUGCUUGUUUUAACAUCUCUAUGGACAUAAUGAGGCUUAGUGUGCUCAUGUAUGUAUUCCAGCCCCCUUGCCGUG